This 468-nucleotide ribosomal RNA is filed under the name Hartigiola annulipes. Its description in RNAcentral is "partial large subunit ribosomal RNA". Lineage: Eukaryota; Metazoa; Arthropoda; Insecta; Diptera; Cecidomyiidae. The record is from RNAcentral.
CGCCUGUUUAUUAAAAACAUGGUUUUUAUUUUAUUUUAAAAAUUGAGCCUGCCAAUUGAAAUUUUUUUAAAAGGCCGCAGUAUUUUGACUGUGCUAAGGUAGCAUAGUCAUUAGAUUUUUAAUUGAAAUCUAGAAUGAAUGGUUUGAUGAGAUGAAGUCUUUUUUAAUUUAAAUUUUGAAUUUUAUAUUUUAGUUAAAAAGCUGAAAUUUUUAAAAGGGACGAGAAGACCCUAUAGAAUUUUAUAAAAAUUAUUAUAAUUUUAAAUAUUAUUAAUUUAAAUAAUAUAAUAAAUAUUAUUUUGUUGGGGAGAUAAUUAAAUUUAAUUAACUUUUUAUUUUUAAAUCAUUAAUUUAUGUUUAUUUGAUCUUAUUUUAUUGAUUAAAAAAUUAAAUUACCUUAGGGAUAACAGCAUAAUUUUAUUUAGAAGUUCUUAUUUUUAAUAAAAUUUAUGACCUCGAUGUUGGAUU